Molecule: unclassified non-coding RNA, 218 nt
Filed under: Hevea brasiliensis (rubber tree)
Lineage: Eukaryota; Viridiplantae; Streptophyta; Magnoliopsida; Malpighiales; Euphorbiaceae
Source: RNAcentral
AUAGAAACUUUCAAGACCAAAAUAAAUAACAAAACAAGUGAUUUCAUCCUUCACAGCAUAAAUAUCCAAUCCCUCAACUUAAAACUUAUCAUCCAUUGGAUUUUGAUGCAACAUGCAGCUUGGUCAAACAUUUGAAAUGCAUCUGGGAAUAAAAAAUUUUAAUAGCAGUAAAUAUAAUCAGGAAUAAGCACAUACGAACGACAGGCAGCAGCAGCGGA